This 74-nucleotide transfer RNA is filed under the name Chloroflexota bacterium. RNAcentral describes it as "Chloroflexi bacterium (groundwater metagenome) tRNA-Pro". It matches the Rfam family "tRNA". From Rfam's summary of the family: Transfer RNA (tRNA) molecules are approximately 80 nucleotides in length. Their secondary structure includes four short double-helical elements and three loops (D, anti-codon, and T loops). RNAcentral also lists the same sequence under 1 other name. Lineage: Bacteria; Bacillati; Chloroflexota. The record is from RNAcentral.
CGGGGUGUAGCACAGCUGGCUAGCGCGCUUGCUUUGGGAGCAAGAGGUCGGCGGUUCGAAUCCGCCCACCCCGA